GGCUUGUAUCCACCUUGUAGUGUUGCCAAUGUAUUUGGCAACUGGUUACAUGGGAUUGAUCACAGGUUAAGAACUCUUCUUAGGGUGGGAGCGCUAGCCGUUAUUUGGUCGCUUUGGCUAUGUAGAAAUGAUAAGGUUUUUAACAAUAAAAGUACUUCUCUAAUGCAGGUUAUCUAUAGAUGUACCGGGACUCUUCAUUUAUGGUCCUUUCUACAACGCUUGGAGAAUCGAGACCUAUUUAUGGAGGUGUGUACACGAUUGGAGGAUACGCCGAGGGAUAGUUUUAUCCAACAUGGGUUGCAACAUGAUCAUAGGAUUGGCCCACCUCCGCUUUAG
This 336-nucleotide ribosomal RNA is filed under the name Triticum aestivum (bread wheat). RNAcentral's name for it is "partial small subunit ribosomal RNA". Lineage: Eukaryota; Viridiplantae; Streptophyta; Magnoliopsida; Poales; Poaceae. The record is from RNAcentral.